Molecule: long non-coding RNA, 27723 nt
Filed under: Ananas comosus (pineapple)
Lineage: Eukaryota; Viridiplantae; Streptophyta; Magnoliopsida; Poales; Bromeliaceae
Description: long non-coding RNA (ACOM_LNC010974)
Source: RNAcentral
AAAAAAAAAAAAAAGGUCUAAGCGUUAACUACGGCAUGAUCAGUGCAUCUAUGCUUUGAUAGUCGCGCUUGGUUUUAAUUGGAUGGAUCUAAUCUUAUGAUCCUUAUUAAUUAAUUUAUUUGUUAAGGUGUGGGUAUGUGGUGCAAUAAGAGGAGAGUUAUGUGAGCGGGGGGUAGGGCGUGGUUCGCUCGAACGAAGCACGAGGCGAAUCGAUGCAUGGGGUCGGAGAGAGAGGGGGCACGCGCGUCCUACGUGCACGUGAUCUGGUGCAGGAAUCGGGCUGACGUGGCGAGAGCCCAUUCGUCCUCUGGGUUCUCUGAAGGAUAAAUUAUUGCACGCACAUGGUGCAUCCGUACAGUUCAUAUACCGCCCUAGAUAUUUAACUAUUGGUGCCCUAAAAUUCAAGGAUAACCAUGGAUACCUUAUCUGAACUAUGUGCCAUUUUAAAUUUACUAUUUAAUUUUCAAAAUUUUGACUCCAUUAUUCAAUAUUUUAAUUUGUUUAAUUUCGGUGAGUCAAUUACGCUUUAACUUUAAAUUUAGUAGUAUAUUUCAUACAAUUCUUAUUAUUAUAAAUUUAUGAAAUUAAAAAUUAGUUUAAAUUUAUAAAUUAAAAUUUAUUCAUCGACUCAAAUCAAACAAAUUAAAAAAUCAAACAACAUAAUCAAAAUUUUUAAAUAUAAAAUAAUUAAUUUAAAAUGAUCUAUAAUUUAGUGUAGAAGGUAUGAAUGAGCUGAGUUCCAAUAGGCUCGAAUUUGCUGAAGGAUGGCUCAAACUCAAUGCAAGCUUAAAAAGGGUGAUUUCUGACUUAGACUCACCAAAGUUUUGAGCUAGCUCAAACUCGGCUAGUUGGUUCUUUGAUAAGUACGUCUUAGUUCAGUCUAAAACAGUUAAAAAUAAAAAGAAAAAUUUUCGAGCAAGACUUGAGUGGACCGAGUAAAUCUCAAGCUCGUCUUGUUUAACAAAUCAAACUUGAACCCUCGCUCGAUCCCUACUUAAUUAAUAAAUGGAUGAGCUCGAUCUGGGGCACAAAUUAGCAAAGCUCACAAUCUAUGAUCUUUUUCGACGCUCCUACGUGUAGUAUUCAUAUUGCCUAUGUUAAAAAUAUAUAUAACUACUAGCUAGAAAUAUAUUAUAUUGAUUUAUCAAAAAUCAACUAUAAAGAAUUAAUAGUAGUAUUGCUUGAUAGAAAUUUUUUUUUUUCUAAAUUUAUAAGUUAAAUUCUGAAUUUAAGGCCUUAAUUACAAAUUUUAAUGGUACAGUGUACGGUGCACCGGGCGCAUGCAACAGCAUCUGAGCCAAAAGGGCAGGGCCCGGGUGGGCCCCAACGUCGUGCACCAAUGUCGGUCUCCUUUUGUGGGCGGUUUUGGUCGUGACAGGUGUCGCCGUCUUAGCUUUUGAUCAUAAACGCAGCAUAAAACGAACGGUUGGAUGGAAUCGAGGAGGUGGGUGGGGCCACCGGUUCUGGGCAAAUUUUUGAAAUGGACGCUUAAUGGAUUGGAGUGGGGCCCACGUGUUGUCGGUUAUGCGUGGUCGAGUUUUGGGGUCACCGUCACGGGUGCGGAUGUCGAUCUCAACCGAUUUAACCGCCAAGAUGAUGGCUGGCAAUGUCCGAGUCACCGUGGGGCCCAUCCACUAUCCUCUUCUUAGAUAGUGUGGGGUUAAUUACUCCUAACUUGGACAAAUUAAAUGCUCAAAUAUGAUGUUAAAUUGUUUAAAAUUUUUAAAAUUUAAAAUUUAUGAUUGUUUUAUACUAUUUGUCUAAUAAUCAAAAUAAUUUUCUAUCUAUCUAUCUUAUAUUAGUUGUAAAAAAUAAUUAAUUUUACAAGCACUUGAAUACUACGCAUAUAAUAAUUAAAACACUAUAAAAUUUGAAAUAUAUGUAGAAAGUUUAAAUAGUCUAAAUUAAGUUUAACAAUGCUUAAUUAUUGUUGAUCCGGAUGCUCCAGUGUCAAAAACGAGGCAAAAAUAAAUGCAGUUUUUUUUUUAUUUGGAGAGAUAGGUAGCACACUAUCCGCUUCAUUAAUUAAACAAAAUGAACUAAGCUUACAGCAUGAUAGCAACCAGAGCUUCCGAAAAAAGAAAGGCAAAGACAAGCAUUAGAGAAAGAAAAAGACAAAAAGAAAAGGGAUAAAAAGAAAGGAAAUAAAGGAAAAAAUCGGUAGUCCGAUAUUAGUCAAGUUUACUCCAAGUGGACAGAAGAAGUUGCACGCGCUCAAGCGAUUGGUAGGGAUUGGGGUAUUUCGCCUGGAAGAUGAAGUUGUUCUUCAGUCCAAACCACCCACCAAAUAGCCGACAAAAGAGUUAAGUCUUUUUUCCUUUUCCCAGUGUCCUCAAGAUUAAAGGUCCUUCCCCACAGUUCUCGAGCUUCGUCGGAGGGCGCAGGAAGAAUUGUUGACCCAUCCGCACGAAGGAUUAGGAAUCUGAAAUGUACGCAGUUACAGAAAAGAUAGUCGUAGUUUUUUACUUACGGAAGUAUCUAGUCUUGUUCAAUUAAAUAUACUAUUUUUCCUUUUCUCUGUUCUUAUUUUUUUAACUAUUUCUCCUAGCUAUAACUUUGAAUAGAAACCCAAAUCAAUUUCUUAAUCAGGGAAGAAUAACUUCUGAGAGAGGUAUUCUACAAAUCAAACUUAUAGAAAAUUUCUACACACCUCGUGAUUAAUUAUUUCUGUCAUCCACCUAGCAAAGAGAUUAUUUUAUAGUUUUCUUAUUUACAUAGAGAAAUUUUUUUGUUAUUAAUUGGCAAUAUUGUACAAAUAUAUUGUUAGUUAGUUGAAUGUAAAAUAAUGUUUUUUUUUUCUAAAAAAAAUCAAGUAUAUAUAUUAUGCUGAUCAAGUGUUAUUAUAUAUCUAACAUGUUGAAAUUCUUGUAAAAAUAAAUUUUUCACAUGAUAUUAGAGAUAAAGUCCUGAGUUUGGUUUCUUUACAGAUGCUUACUUUGAUAAGCAGUUUGCUUUCUACUACUUUUUAGGCAUGCGAUGAAAAACUUGGUAUCCACCUCCGCAUUACUUGCAAAUAUAUCUUAAAAGAUACUUUUCGGAUUAUAUCAUGUACGCAUGAGUGAUUUUGAGCAUAGAAGACGAAAUUCCUAAUCCACAUCAAGUAGUGGCACGCAUGAGCCAAUAAACUCACAUGAGUUGCAUGUCUUAACUUAUGCUGUACGUGUUGUACGAAUGCUAGUGCAAAAUUGCCAACUACACCAACUAAAGAGACUAUUCUUAUAUAUAGCUUUUACGAAUUCAAUAUAAAGAAGGGUAAAAGUUGUUAAGGUGUUGUAGAUAUCGCAAUUCUAAUCAUCCUACUUUAGAAAUUUAAUGGUUUAGCAACGAAAAGAACUGCAUGAAGAAUUUGAUCAGUAUCCUUAUAAAGAAGAAGAAUAAGAAGAAGAAGAAAUACAAAAAAAAGCACUUUGGAGCACAACUAGGUUAACCCAGUACAUAUAUUCUUUGUUGAUUAUAUUCACUAGAUAUUCCAUGUGGAGAGGUUGUCUCUGACUAGAGUUAAAUUGUGGUGCACCUCACUUUGGGUCCCAUUCAAAGUGAAUUUGAACUUAUCUGCAAUAUGUAGCUACACAAAAAGCCAUUAAAUUUAAGAAUCCGGAUCUUUUUGUUAUCCUUGUCAUGGUCUAAAAGUUAUUAAUUAUUAAAAAGAAAAUGAGGGACAGGUGUAAGGUGAAUAAAAAUUAAAGGACCUUUAUUUUCUUUCGACUAAAGUUUGGUUCUAAAUUACCAACUGUUCCUAGAGCAAGUGGCAAAGGGUUUGGUGAUUGGUACCCGAGGUCCCAAGUUCGAAUCCUAGUUGAUUCACAUUUCUAGCUAAGUUUAUUUCUAAAUGAAAUAAACGAAGUGGGUAGCAUGCUAUCUAUCUCUUUCUAAAAAAAAAAAAAAAAAAAAGGAAAGAAAAAAAGAAGAAGAAGUUUGGUUCCAAAUUCAGCAUCACCUUAUUUUUACACUAGGGUACGUGUACAAUAAUCUACUUUUGCACUCUUGUGUUACACAGUAUAUGUCAAAUUCCUGCGCACUCUUCACCUCUUAACAAACCACGCACAAAAUAAAGAGAAAUGCUAAGUCUGUUGGAAAAACUUUCUGAUCUUUUAUUAUAAUAUUCUUUAAAAACCAAUUCGAAAAUUUAAUUACAGGUUUAGAAAAAUUCCGAAACGAAAUUAACUAACAAAUACGGUAAAUAAAAGGUUUAGAUAAAGCCAGUAGAUCGAGGCGUGUAGAGCACUGUUCUAGAAGCGAAAUUAUCCCUCCACGUGCGAGGCUUCCUGGCAAUUAUUCCUAGCGAUACAACAAUCACGUUCCACCUCGUCGGCACGCCUCCAAGGUGGCGCAAGACGAACCCAACUAGCUUCAAAUCCAGCAAAAAAAAAAUCGGCGAAAACCCAGAAAGUAAAAAAAGAUGAGAGGCUUUAGGUAUGCUCGGGUUAUUAAUUAACUCGUGUAAUCUCGCCCCAUAUUUAUAACCUAGGCGACGCCCGGCUCGGCUUGUGUAAUCUCGCUUCAUAUUUAUAACCUAGGCUAGGUGACGCCCGGCUUGGCUUGUGUAAUCUCGCUCCAUAUUUAUAACCUAGGCGACGCCCGGCUCGGCUUGUGUAAUCUCGCUCCAUAUUUAUAACCUAGGCGACGCCCGGCUCGGCUUGUGUAAUCUCGCCCUAUAUUUAUAACCUAGGCGAUGCCCGGCUUGGCUCGUGCUCGUGCCGUGCGUGAAUUUAAACGAAAGUAUUACUAUUAUUUUCUUCUAAGUAACUAGCUUGAGAAUAAAGCAAUAUAUAAAGACCACAAAUGUCGUUUUGGUUUCCAAUGUAGGACUAAACAUCUCACAUGAAAAUUUUAGUUGGGUUCCCUAAACGGCCCAUUAACAAUUGUUGGGCUCUCAAGAGACUUUAAUAAGUUUUAAAUUAUAACAAACCCAAUAAAAUCCAAUAAAGUCUACCACCCAAAGGGGUUGUAAUCCAUAUAAUUCUUAAUUGUAAAAUUUAUCAACUUCAUUAACAAGACAAGUAGGAAAAAAAAGAAGAAGAAUAUACAGUUGGAUUGGAAAGGUUGUAGGAUUACAAUUCUUCUGUAACCCUAGCUCUCCUUAUAGACACCCCCAAACUUUUUCUCUUUUGCAAAGAGGUUCCAUAACUUUCAAUUUCAAAGAAUAACUGGCUGAACUUCACUGUACCUUUCGAUCGACUCCUACCGUUUGCUCGGCAUAAAAAAAACUGAUGGAGAUCGGCAUACACAGCAGUCGCAUGUGCUACUUUUUCCUCCUUUUCAUCUCCAAAUGAGGCUCAAAGUUGAUAUAUAUAGAAAUGAAUAAAAUUAACAUAUUCCUGUAAAUACUUGCUCUAACUUCAUAUAAACUUAAUUGUGCUAUGUACAUCCAAGAUUAUUUGCUCCGUAAAUACAAAAGUUCCAUCCAAAUGCAUAUAGCAUGUUAAAAAAAAGGAUCAUUAUCAAAUAUUUACUUAUUCCAUACAAAGAUAAAUAAAAAUUCAACACUAUCCAUGAGGUUACCUUCAUCGUGUUAGAAUUUGAUUAGAUUUAUAGUUAAUACUCUAGUUGGAGAAAAAUUAAUAUUUAAAUCUAUUGGAGGUAAAUUAAGAUUUAAAUAUUAAUUAGAGUAUAAAUCUAACUAGAUUAGAAUAAAUAUUUAAAUUUAUUGGAGAUUAAUAAAAUAUAAAUGUAAAUAUUAAUUGGAAUAGAAAUUCUAAUUAUUUUAGAAUUGGGCUACGUUCUGCUGGAGCUUUAUAAAUAACUCCUCAUGUUAAUUAGGAAAAAUUCUAGAAUGCAACGGGUAUAUUAGUGACGUGGCAUAACAAACCAAUCAAAUUAAUUUUUUUAAGAAUAUAUGUCCCAUCAUGAUUAUGAAAAAGUAUUUUUAUUGUACUUUUGUUUGAAAAGAAGGAAUGUGAUUGGCUUGUUAUUGAUGGUAUGGUGCAAGUGUGACAGUGUAGAAUUCCUCGUUAAUUAGUGGUUGUCUCCGUGGAGUUGCAUGGCUGAAGUUUCAAAGAAAUAGUAUGGUCAAGGUUGGCGCUCUUUGACGGGUAAAAUGGCUGAUGUGUCUUGAAGCCAUUAGUGGACCGUACCAAAUGGAAGCUUGGUUAUGAUUGCAUCCAUCUAGUGUACGGAUGCAUGUGAGAAAAAAAAAAGGGUUGUCUUUUAGAUUUGUAGAAGACGAGAGAAGGGUGGAAAAGAUUUAGAAAUUAAGAGGGCUCGGGUUGUAGCUAUUCUAUACAAGAAAGGAGUCAGGUGUAAUCUUCUUUUAGUUAAUAAAUCUUAUUUUACCCGCAUAUUUUCUAUUUUAAUUUUUCUUUCUUUUAUGAUUGUAUCAAAUUUUGCUGAGGAGACAGGUUUACGGUAAAAAUUCGAUUCGACACUUCCGUUGCAGAAUCCCAACAUUCGGUACUAGAUCAAUAACAGUCGGUAUUGGAGCGGGUUGCAAAUUCUCAAAAUUCGGUAUCAUGGCGAGUACCGAAUUCCCAACACAUCGUCCCACAAAGAAGAAGAGGCUUAUAUAUUUUAUAUAUAUUCUCCACUAUUUGGCCUAGAGCAGAUCACACAUUGCCACACUUGCUAAUCUAUGUUAAUUCCUUGAGGCCAAGCAGAUGAAACAAUCACUACAACAAAAACGGUGUAUAGCAACACUUUUAAAUGUCGGUACAGAUCAAAAAAUAUACUGCUGGUUAAAUUACCGACACUUUUUAAAAGUGUUGCUAUAUGUGGAGUCGCUAUAUGUAGGGCCGCUUUGAUAUUUUGCACCCACUCCUCCAGCGACCUGUAACGGAGGGACACGCGGCGAUCGUAACCUUAUACGAUCCCUGCGAAAUCCUUGCGACUAAACUCCAGCCGUCGGAACAUGGUGAUCGUAACCUUUUACGGUCCCUGCGGUAGUCAAUUUUUCUUUUUUUUUUUUAUUUUUCUAUUUGUAAUUGGGCCAAGUGAGCAGGGUGGAGUUGGUCGAGUAGAGAAACUUUUUGUUUUUUAUUGAAUUGGGUUUUAUAUUUAGGCCUUAAUAUAUUUUUUAAAAAGUUUUGAUAUAAAUGAAACACUUACACAAAAGUAUUUCAAAAAUGUGUUGUUAUAAUCAAUGUAAUAGAUAGUAAAACAUAAUAAAGUCUAGGAGGUUAUUUCCCAAAGUUGAAAUUUCAAUAGUCCUGUUAUAAAUGCGGGGAAGUUUAGGGGUGUCUAUACAUUUGACCCAGAUAAAAAUGGGGAACUUCGCAAAAUGCCAAGUUGAGGACAAAUUUUAAGAUUGAAAUAUUUUACAGGAUCUCAUGUUAUCGAAAUAAAUCUUUGUUCAAGAUGAUCUUCAAAACUUAAUUUCCUUCGUAAAGCAACAAGUGUACAACAAUAUGCAAUGGACAUGCGUACCUGUCUAGCUCAUUUUUUAACUAUUUUUUAACUAAAAGGACAAAAUAGUAAUUCAAGUUGCAUGGUAUAAUAUUUAGGCUAAAUUACAGAAAACCCUCCUGUAAUAACCCGCUUUUUCACUUUCCCCUCCUGACAUUUAAAAACCUACACUUUGCCCCCUUGUAAAAUGAAAAAUAUUCACAGGGGGGCCACGGUGUGUAAAAUGACCAUUUUGCCCCUCGCCAUUGUUGUCUUCUUCCUGAGCUUCCUCAGCCGCCCCUUCGAUCCGCCGCUAUUUCCACCUCAAUCGGCCACGAUUCCUCUCCAAUUUCUUCUCCACCUGCUCCCCUUCUCCUCCUACACCGUCGCCGCCCAUCGAUUUCGGCGACAGUAGGGAGGAUACUAAGAUGGGUGUUGAUGGAGAGGUAGGCAGGGACAACGAGGGCGAAGGCGAGGUGGCGGAGGAGGAAGAAAGGGAUGUGGGCGAGGGCGAAGCAGUGGAGGACGGCGAGGCGGCGAGGCGGCGAAGCGGCGAGCCGGAGGGAGCGAAGCAUCAGAGAAGAGGCAGAGGGGUAUUUUCGGUAUAAAAAAAUAUUUUUUAACAGAACCCCUAACGGAACCCUAACGGUAGGGGUGAAGUGCACAUUUUUCAUUUUACAAGGGGGCAAAGUGUAGGUUUUUAAAUGUCAGGAGGGGAAAGUGAAAAAACGAGUUAUUACAUGGGAGUUUUCUGUAAUUUAGCCUAAUAUUUAAAAGGACAAAAUAUUAUAUAAUCAUUUUGAUGCAUGGUAUGAAGGUUCUUUCAUAAUUGAAUAAUAAUUUAUAGGAUUAAUUUCAUACUUAUCCUUCUUCAACUCUUAAUUAUACAGAAACUCCUCUAAAAGUAUCAAUAUAAAAAAUAUUCCUUUUAUUUAGAGAACUUAAUAGUUUACUAGUCUAUUAGUUUACAAACACGAAAAAGAAAAUGAUAACCGACCGUUUCUGACACAAGUGACAAAUUAAGGAGUUAAUGAUUGAUACCCAAGAUCCCAAAUUUAAAUCCUAGUUGAUUCAAAUAGAGAAAUUCUUACGCACCCUAAACAGGGUGCCUAUAUAGAGAGAGAGAGAGAGCUACAUACGCUCUCGUACUUUCAAAAGUACGUAGCUUUGUGGACUUGUAAAUUAAUUUUGACGAUAGAACAUUCGAUUCGACGAUCGAUUCCAUUAGCUAUGAUUUAUGGUGUUGAUGCCUAUAUAUAUGUAUGUAUGUAUCUUCGACGUUCUAAAAAAAUAGUAAUUGAUGGAUCGACUCAAUUAUAUAUCUGGUUAAUUAGGGUGACAUUUCUCUAAAAUCCGUGACUGUGACGAUCACUACUAGCUAGUGUGGAGCGAUGCACAUGAUCAUGCAAGAAAUCAUCACACAACUAAUUAACAUGUUACAUAUAUGUUAAUGAAAAGUAAAAGUACUAUAAAGAUGACUUUACAAAAGUAAACAAAUCAUUUAGAUCGAGUCGUGCUAAAUUUGUUUCAUUUUCAUCAACUUUUAUCGUGACAAUUUAAGAUCGAUAUUGCUAGUGUAGGAAGUAAGCGAAUGAUCAUGUUAAGAGUUUGGUUAUCCUCGUAGGCUUAAUUAGUUUGGUAUUAAAAUCUAUACGUUAUUAGACUAAAUGAAGUUAGGCAAAAAUAUAUAGAAAUAUGCUUCUGCGUUUUUUGGUUGGACCGUAGAAAAUAUAUCAUAACUGACUCAUCGCGAUAUGCGAAACGUAAUAUUACAUAUGAAAACAAACAUAAUAUUUUUUUAUUGUACUUUUUCAUCACACAUAGCGCAAUCUUCUCGUAAGUCUAAACGAAACUUUAAAAGUCACCCCUGGAAUGGUGGUCAUAUAUUUGACCUAAAAGUUGGUACACUUUGUUUUUUUGACUCAAAAGGAUAAGAUCAUUGGAGGCUAUUGGUAGGGUAGGAAUAUUCAUAAUGCACCUAUAUUGUUCUUUUAAAAGCUACAAUGGAUAGCUCGAAAUACACAAGAUUCUUAAAGAAAGCCAUGUAGUCACUCCCUUUGCUUCUUUCUACCACGACCUCUCAUUUAAAGAGAAACCCUCAAAUCCUUGUUUUUCUACAGAAGUCACGAGGCUCCCACCAUACUCUGACUCUCACAUGCACCACCAAGCGUGAAUCAUAUAUAUAUAUAUAUGCACGUACACAUGAAAGGUUGUUCUAUACUUACGUACGUACACGUGCCUUGCAAAUUUUGUGACUGGUCAAAUAUAUUACUUUUCAACAUAUUCUCUCUCUUUUUCUUUAAAAAAAAAACAUAUUCUCUCUGGCCAUGUUUGAUUGGGAAACAAGGAUUGAGAAUAAGGGAUUAUUCCCCCUUGUUCUUCAAAUACUAUUUUUAAGAAUGGUGUCAGGCAGGGGUUAUUCCCCCUGCCUGACACCUCUCCUUGUCUUGAUCCAGUUCGUCGGAUCGCACAAACAACCACAAAUUUGAUGGCACCUUUUAUUGAAAGAUUUAGUGAUUUAAAGCCUCAUUUUGUUACGCUGCAUGCACUCUUGUUCUUUUAUUGCUCAAACAAAUCUACGUGAAUGAUCAAUUAAUGUUCCGAUGAAUGUUGAAUUAAUUAUCUGUAAUCUUUACGUCUACAUAUUUGUUUUACAACAAAAAGUAAUUAUUAUAGUUUUUUUUUUAAUAGAAAUUUAUGGUUCACAAGACAACAAGAACAGAAGAAGUCUAAGCCAAUUUGCACCAGCAUGAACAGAAAACUUCUAUCCUUAUAAAUACAUAAAUAAUUAAGCAAACAAAACGGAAAGGCCGAAAAAUAGCCUUAAUACCCAACUCACAAGCGCGAUGAAUAUCAGGUACUUAAACAUAGAACUUUGAAAAUAUAUGUUACCGAAAGAUUGAUUUGAUAGUAAAUGGUCCAGAGAAUAGUAUAUGUGAACGUACAAAAAAGAAGCAAAAGAAACUUAAAUAUAUGCCUUUGUCAUGUUAAAUAUUCCUUUCGAUGAUGUUGGAUUCUUUCUUCUUUUUUUUUUUUCCUAAAAAAAGGAGACGUCGUCGUUAAGAUGCGAGAGUAUACAUUAAUUGGCUUGCUUUUUUAAACUUUGUGGGAUAGAUUCUUUAGAGACGGGGUUUUUACAAGACACCACGUUGCAUGCUUCUACCUGUGCAUGGGGAAUUUUUUGAACGUUCCAUUAAUAAUUAACGCUGCGUUGAUCACAUGCUUCUUAAUUUUUAAAAUUAACCCUGUUUCUUCCUCAAUUAUAGGUCAAAAGGCGUGCUUUUUUGGUGAUUCAUCUGGUGGAUACUAUAUGUUUUUAAAAAGAUAAUUCUUACUUUUUUUUUUUGGAUAAAUUACACUUUCGGUCUUCAAACUAUGAUGUGUGUGACACGUUGGUCCUCAAACUGACUCCAAUUUUUUGAAUUGUUGCAAUCAAAUUUCACAAACUAAUUUAGUUGGUUAAAUAUUGACAAAUUAUUAAUGUAAAAGUAAUAUAGAAAUGUUAUAAUUGAUGAUGCCAUAUCAAUUUUACGUACAUCAACAACUUGUCAAUAUUUACCCAACUAAAUUAGAUAUUAUGGGACUUGAUUACAGCAGUUCAAAAAGUUUGAGUCAGAAAUUAUACCUUAUUAAAAUUUAAGAAUCAAAAUGUCACACGCCUCAUAAUUUGAGGACCAAAUUAAAGUGUAAUUCACCCCUUUUUCUUUUAUGUUCCUCAUUCAGAGAGACUCUCUCUCUCUCUCUCUCUCUCUCUCUCUCUCUCUCUCUCUCUCUCUCUAUAUAUAUAUAUAUAUAUAUAUAAUGCGACAUGAAUCUUUUGUUAUAAAAAUAAGGUCCUUUCCAUUAGUGUGCAACUAUCCCGUUACUAACUAAUAAAUAUUCGUGUUUAUCUACUCACUACUCAUUUGGGUUGUUGAGCUAGCAUAAGAAGGUCAAGCCCUAGAAAUUUGGAACCAAUUAAAAACUUUAUACUAUAGUAGCCAAUGAACAAUAGACAACAAAAACAUCAUUCAUGUGGACUAGAAUUAUAUAUAUAUUUGUUCUUUAAUGACCUUGAUUUUGGAUUUCUCAUAUAUAAAAAUUUUUGGUUACUUCAACACUAAUCACUUGAUUGGUGGUCAAAGUGUUAUUUAAUUAGUUACGGUCGUGUUUGGGCAUUUUAUAUGAUAAUAUGAUAUUGAUCACGAGAGCCUAAGACGAUAUUUUGGUUGGAAAUUAAGCUGUGUGACAACGUACGCAAUCAACAUUUGACUAGAAAAAUGAAACUAAUAGCACCCAUCAUUUUGUUUAAUUAAUCAAAGCUAAAUAUAUAUUUUGUUACCUAAGUAACUAGCUUUUAUGUAAAUUAAUAAUAGCUUUAGACCUACUUAAGCGAACUCUACUACUUUAAUUGCUAUGUAGGUGGGACUAAAUUGGAUGUUUAUACGUUGGGAAACCAAUCAAGAGUGAUUAGUAUGGUCUAUUUAAAAAAAGUCCUUCAAAUAUAUAUAUGUAUAUAAAAGAAAAUUCAUCGGUACUGUUGUAACACGUGGUCAAAUUAACCCGAUUUACUUUUAGACCGCAAUUAAUUUGGUCACAAUAAUCAAGUUUAAUUGGACCUUGUUACAAAACUUCUUUGCAACGCACCUACAAUAACACUUCUGCAUAAGCUUACUUUUGGAGAUUGACCUCCUUGAGCCCAAUAAAGCUUUUACGAAAGUAUUGUUUGAGCAAAAUUAAUUGUUCGAACCUCCAAACAUGUUUUCGUUCAAGGAUUUUCGUAGCUUCUCAACAACAUGUGAUUCAAACUAAGACUUCGUUUGAAAUUGCAGAGAGAUUGCAUUACGUACGGUGAGAAAAUACGAUAGGAAAAUAUCCUGUUUGUUUCCGUACGUAAUAUUGCGUUUCGCAUAUCACGAUGAGUGGGUUACGAUAAUUUUUCUGUGGCCCCACCGGAGAUUACAGAAGUAUAUCUCUAUAUACUUUUACAUCAACUCCAUUUUAUCUAAUAGCGUCAGAUAGACCACAAUACCAAACCAAGACUAAGGCUAGCUCGGAUUUUGAUAACUAAAAUCUUAUUUUAAUUUUCAACCAUGCACAGUUAGAAGCUCAAAUUAUUAUUAUUUUUAAUUAAAAGCUUGUUUUGUAUCUCCAUUUCACAUCGAGAAUCAUGACAAAAACUCGGAGUGUAGUACCAUAAAGAUAUAUAUGCGGACUAAGGGCCAUUUUAUUAAUGAUCAAGCUUAAGCUUUUGGGGCUAUCGUUUGGACCUAACAAGUUAUUAAUUUUGCUGCACCAAUAGAAUUAGGAUUUUAGUUGCCCAGCCCACGUAGUACAUGCAUUCGACCACACAAGACCAAGCCGGGUCGAAUCUUGGUCCGGCCCUCCAAAGAAGGCCCAAUUUGCGAAAAAAAGUCCAAGUUGAAAAUAAGAAUUCUAAAAAACUUAUUUAUUUUGUAACUAUAAGUAACUAUUUAGUAGUACUGAUCUCUGUGGCUACAUGAUGAUCAAGUAUCGAGGACCAUUUAACACUAUUAAACAACACGGAAUUAGAAAAAGGUAUGCAAACAUAUGCUUUUUCAUUUUUCAAUAAAACUAUAAAAAAUAUAUUGUAAUCGGCUCAUUACGAUAUAGAUCACAUAAUAUUACAUACCGAGUUCAUUUUACUUUGUUUUUUUUUUUUUCUGGAUUCCUCAGUUAGUUGGAGUCGGAGCUUUUAAUUUCUUUUUUUUUUUGAGAAAAUGGAGCUUUUAAUUUCUAACCGGAGCCCAAAGUGUGAAAAGAGAGAAACUCGAGUGUACGAAGAAGCAAUAAUAAUUUGGGCCUUUAUUGGGUCGGUUCGGCCCUGAGAUUUAAUUGGGCUCAUUAAUUUCAGCCUAUUUAAUUAUAGGGCCGUGGUUUGUAUCCAAGCCCAAUUUCACGGCUCGACCCGACCCACUCCGGUCCAAAGUCCCGGUUCAAGAAAACCGAAAAUAAUACCGGUUCAAGGUACAAAAGUUAGUACAUCGCUGAAGCUUGCGAGAUCGAGAAACUCUGAAUAAAGAAGGCGAGGCGAGGAAGAAGACGAAGAGGGAGAGAUCGAUCGAAAAAAAAAAAAAAAAUCCGGAAUAAAUCCCUCGCAUUUUUUUUGCUCUCCUAUUUUUUUCCAAAAAUAAGUCGAAGGAUCGGAUCCUCUCCUCUUCAAUUCUUCGCCUUCCUCACUCGUCCUCGAUCGAUCGAUCUCUUGUUCAGAAACCCUAGAGAAUGGAUAAAAUCUUCGCCAAGCUCCGGAACCUGGACGCGUACCCUAAGAUCAACGAGGAUUUCUAUAGCAGGACCCUUUCCGGGGGCAUCAUCACCAUCGUCUCGUCCGUGAUCAUGUUCAUCCUCUUCGUCUCCGAACUUAGUGAGUGAUUAAUCGCGCCGUUCUUUUGUUUCUGACUUUUUUAUGUUUCGUGUGCGUGGAUGGGUAGCUGUAGGUUGGUUCUUGGGUAUAUCUCUGUUAUUUGGUGAUUCUCUGCUUGUAUUUAUUGUAAUCGUGCAAUGUUGAUUGGUUGAAUAGGCUAAUCACUCGAGUUCUUGAUAGUGGGAACGGAAUGUUGUUUGAAUUUGUUAUGGUUAUUUAAACCUGCUCUUUAUUUGCUAUUCAAAUAUCUCUUUAGCAUGUAAGGGGGCAUAAGGUUUCAUGAUAUCUGUGGGGCACGUGCAAAUCUUUAUCGUUUUAUGCUUGAUAGUUAAUAAUGGGGUUCACAGAGUCCUCGAUCCCACGAACCUGAGCAAGAAUUAGAGAGGAGCAAAGUUAGAAGCUGUAUAAGGGCCGUACGCUUAGGCACGGGAGGUGGAGAUGUUAAUUAUGGCGGUAAAGUAUUUCCCGGCAGAGGAUGGAAAGUGACUAGAGAUAAGAGAGAUAAAACAGGAAAUAAAGUAGGUCAAAGCGUCGGAGAAGAAAUAACUAAUUUAUACUCAUAAUGGACUACUGUACAUCAUCAGUUUCAUCUCAUGAGUCCCUUUUUUUGGCAAUUUGGCACCUAACAGUUCUAAAAUAGUCUUAUAAUCUGAAUAAAUAUGUCUAUUAUCACUAGCGUUGUUAAUGUGAAUUUCUUUCUUUGUUUCUGCAGUAUUUACAUUUGAAAUUUAGAAAAAUUAUUAGUGAUUGAAGAUGAUGUUUAAUUUGAUCGAGUGGCUAAAAAUGCCGGGGACCGAGAGGUUAUUGGCUGGGUGUAAGGCAUAAGGACUAACUGUACCUUUUGAUUGAAAUGACAGAAACAUUUAUUCAUGUAUUAUAGCUUUUUUGACACUUAAAGAGUUAGGGAUUGGUGUUCAAAUAAAGGCUACGAUUUGCAACUGUUCGCUUGAAAACCAAUUGUGAUUGAUGGUUUUACUUUUGAGACUCUUUAUAUUUGAAGACAUAAGUUGAAAAAUUUUGAGAGAAGUCAAGAUGAACACAAAUAUUUUUGGCUUGAGAAUGUUAAUAUAGAAGAUAAUUUAUGUGAUUGACCUUAGGAAAGAGAUAAUUCAUUGGUGUUUAGUGUUUACGCAUGGAACCAAAGAAAUGUACCAGAGAACAAUGACCUCUUUCAGGCCUUCAAAAGCUUUUGUCCUUUCUAAGUGCUUAACCCUCAACGUCUAACUACAGCCUAUGCCCUUGUUUGGAUCAUUUAUGAGAACUCCGCAUUAAUGUUUGUUAUUUAUUUCUCUGUGGAUCUAUGCUCAUAUUUCUACAGAUGUCACAGCAUAUUUUGCUUCAUACUUCAAGCUGUCAUAUAUAUAUAUCACAUUUCAUCAUUUUUUUUGUUGCAGGAUUGUAUCUUCAUGCAGUAACAGAAACAAAGCUCGUUGUAGAUACUUCAAGAGGAGAAACACUUCGCAUUAAUGUAAGAAUGCAUCUUACCAAGGAAUUUUAUUUUAUUUUUUCUGAUGGAGACUUUUUGGUCCAAUUUUAGUUUUUCAGCUUGAUUGAAGAUCAACUUAUCUUUCAAAGCAGACAACUUCAAAGAUGUUUGAUAACUUUACAGCGAAACUUUCUUUUUAAUGUGUCAUGCAUGUUUAUUGGAUUUUUCCCCCUUGUUUUAUUACUUGACAAAUUACUUAAGUAGACUGCUCGAUUUUUAUUUUUUGUUGUCUCUUACUUAGGAACCUAUUUUGUUUCCUUUCUCUGUUUCUCUAUUACAUAUUUUCAUUCUGUUACUCGUCACUGCUCCUCGUACUUGUGUACAGAUCAUUAAUUUUCCAAUAUUGCUACAAUUGAAGCUCUUGUUUAUUAUUUACUCAUUUUGUUUCUUUCUAAAUAGUUAGUAGUAGUUUGCUUGGAAUCAUCAAGCUAUUUUUGAAUUUCUCAUUGUUAUAACUGAACUUCAUUUUGUUGCUGGUAAAGGAAAACUUUGCCAUAUGUUGCAAUCAAGCCCUAAAGUGAACAUCUGUUGGAUUCAGUGAUGGGAACUGAUGUGACAUCUCUAGAGCAAAUUGAUGUUACAUUCAAUCAGCUAUUUUUGGGAUGUUGUUGAAUUUUUUUUUUUUUCAAUCAUUUAGUAAGGACAUUCCAACCAACAUUGCAUAAUAGCCUCGUAAGAUCCUUAUCAGCUAGUGUGAGAAGAUGUCACACAUAAUUGGGAUGUAAUAUGAGCUUUCUUUUUGUUACAUAUUAGAGAAGUUCAUGAUUCGAUGAACCUUGUUACGACAAAUAAGGAAGUUUGAGCUAUUAGUUGCUGAUCAAAGAAUUAGUAGAAUUGGAAAUCCAAUUUCUUGUGCAGUUUCGAGACUUCUUUAAAAAAUUGACCAAACAUUCAUUGAUAUUUAUUGAUAUGUAUCCAUGUUGAUAUUGAAAGUCUUGUUUGAUUUAAUCUUGUCCAUGUUUCAAUAUUGGGAUUGCUGCUUGCUAAUCCCCUGCCCAUAUUUUCCAUGGAAACUGCAGUUUGAUAUAACCUUCCCAGCCCUAUCAUGUUCAAUACUCAGUCUGGAUGCAAUGGAUAUUAGCGGUGAAGAGCACCUUGAUAUAGUAUGUCUUUCAGCUAGAUCUGUUCUCUCUUCAUAAUUACAUAUCUAACCAACCAAUUUAUAUGCCAUCGAAGUGACUUUAUAUCUCACUGCAUUUUUUUUUUGUUUUUCUGUAGAAGCAUGAUAUAGUCAAGAAGCGGAUUGAUGCCCAUGGCAAUGUCAUAGAAGCUAGACAAGAUGGAAUUGGUGCACCUAAGGUAUUACAAAGCUGCCUAAAAAUGUGUUUUCCCUUAAUUUCAACUAUUUAAUUUCUUGUUAGCACCAUAUUAUUUUGCAUUGAUGCUUUGAGUGCGGAAAUUGGACACAGACAAUUUACCAAAAAAAGGACACAAUAAAAGAAGUUUCUCAAUAGAUUGAUGUUUUUAUCCUUGGAGAACUGAGAAAGCAUAUGGCCUACUUUUAUUCUUUUAUUCAUCUGUUUCUUUUACAUUCUUCAGAUAUGUCCAUAUCUUACUUACAACUUCUGACAGUACUUGUACCAACCUUCACAUUCAUCAUGCACCACACUAUUCUAAAGUCAGCUUCUUUGCAAAAGUGUGUUUUUGAGGCAAGCUUAACUUUUCAUGGUUGAAAAAAUGUAGAAAAUCUUUUCUUGCAUUAUCUAUACCUCAAACAGUUGGAGAUGGACGAAUUAGUUUCUUAGCAUUUUAGUCAAGUGGAUAGGUUCAGCAAGUAUACCAUUAAAUAUUAUUGUAUUUGGAUCACAAUCUUAGAUUGUACACCUUGCCAACAAAGCUCAAUUGGCUGUAUGGACUAUGGACAGUUUUAAAAAAAACCAUGAACUACUAAAUUGGUGGACUGAAAUUGCUACAAUAAAGAUUUACACCUGAAAUUGGAUGAGCCUAAUCGAAGGAAUGAAUCUCACUAUCUUAUGUAGGUGGAUCCUCAAGAAAUUCUUUGGCACUCUUAUAGUGUAGAGACAUAGAAGCAAAACGUUGACCCUGUUGAAUGAGCUAAGUGAAGUUUUCUACUUCAUAGAUUUACUCCCUUGUAGUUAAAUAACCUACUAUAAACUUUGAAGUUGGAUUAUCCGAUUAUAUUACCUCUUACUUGAUGUUUUAAUAUCAACAACCACAAGCAAGUUAAAUUUUGCAUGCCCUGUACUUUAGUAGCUUGUUUGAGUAGUGAAAAUUUUCUGUUGUGAAGUUUUGAAGUUUAUAUGUUAAUAUUUGCUGGAAGUUUACUUUAUACAAUGCAUGUUUUAUUAUUUUAACUCUCUGGCAGAUGGAAAAGCCUUUGCAAAAACAUGGUGGGAGGCUUGAACACAAUGAAACGUAUUGUGGUUCUUGCUAUGGUGCAGAAGUGGUAUGUAAUCCUGGUUCUAUUUUAAUAUUCAUUGUUUUAACAUCUGUUAUGCCUUUUUCAGUAGUACAAGUGGUAUCAUAUCUUGGGAUUGCUUUCUAUAUCAUCAUCUUAGGCAUUGCUUGGUAUUGAUGCUAUUCUUUUUUCACACAAAUUCUAUGCAAUGGAGUGUGGGCGGAUGGCAGAGUGCUUCCAAUAUAUACAUCUACUGGGCCUGCUGGCAAGAGAAAAAAAAUGAAAACACAAAAGUACCAUUUAUUCUCUUCCUUUGUUUAUUGAAUAUGCCUUUUGGUACCCAGCUGGGUUGCAUUGCAAGCUAACCAGUAAUGGCAAGAAUAGGGAAGUCCUCCUGUUGGCACAGCAAUCAUAUUGAACUUUUUGUUCAUAACAACAAAAAAAAAGGCAACAAUACAAAACAACGCAUGGCUCUAUGACUGUGCAACUUGGAAACAACACUUAGCUAUUCUUGACAAUAAAUUUCAGUACAGGGAGUAUUGGUGUGAUUCUUGUGGAAGUUGCUUGAGACGUAGUUGGCUAAAAAGCUGAUUGGAAAGUUAAGUACAAUAAUGGACAACGGGUAAUGAAUGCCUUUAUGUAUGCAACCCAAAUGAGCAAUGGAUGUCUUUUAGUAUGCACCCAAAACUUGUAACUAUGUGCAUAUCUCAUAAUAUUUGAUAAUUUUGAAAUCUUUAGUAGUUCAAUCCUAUUUUUGGUUUCUUUUGUGAGGGAAUAGUGAAAACAUUCAUCGCUAACCUCCCAUCCUCGUGCUUAUCUUCUCACUGUUCUAAAAUGCUGUCACCCGCAUAGGUGAAUGUCAUUGCUUGAUCGCUUCAAUAGUCCGCUUGUAUUUGUGGUGUACACACCUCAUAAUGGGUGCAUGAGCACCUUACCUCCUACCUCGCAUUAGAAGAAAUAUAAGGUUUAGCAUGGCAUGAUAUAUAGAAUGUUUAAUAAGUCAUCCAAAGUUCUAUAUUUUUCUUAUUCAUUUGAUUCAUCUGUGCCUUUCUUUUAUGUAUAAUAUUUUGUUACUGUAAUAUAUUAUUGUAUGUAAUUAUAUUUUGCAAAAUUCUUAUCUCAGUUAAUAUUAUUUGCUAUGACAGACUCUGAUCAGAUUUUCUUUAUAUAUAUAUAUAUAUAUAUAUAUAUAUAUAUAUAUAUAUAUAUAUAUAUAUUUUAGCUCCUUCAUUACUUUCACAAAAUGUUUCCUGGUUUAUUAUUGCUACUGUUGAAUCUAUAUAUCUUCUUAAUUUUGUUCCUCAUAUGCCAUGAACAUGCAAAUUGAUUUGCUUGUAGUCCGACGACGAUUGUUGCAACUCUUGUGAAGAAGUUCGUGAAGCAUAUAGAAAGAAAGGAUGGGGCCUCUCAAACCCGGAUCUGAUUGACCAGGUGUGACCAUAUAGAUGACAUGAUUUAUUUUUGCUUUUUAAGUGCCUUGCUUUAUAACUCUAUGAGUUUAUCCUCUCUGUAAUUAAAUGUUUUAUGAAAAUAUUCAAUUUUUCACGGGAAAGUUUAUGUUUAAUAAGUUUGCCUAGGUUUCUGAUAGUUACAAUGGCUUGAAAGUCACUGGAGUUCUUGUUGUAAUGUAUGAAUGUUCUGUCACUCAAACUGGUUCUUUCAGUUUGCACAAAGAUGUCAGUGUUGGCUAAAGUUGGGCCCACAUUAUGCCAUUAUCUUAAAGGCUUACUACCUUGUCUUGUAUUACAAUUUUCUCUAUGCAACUGCCUACGCCUGAGUUUCAUAUCCUAUUGGUUACUACUACAAACUGUAAUUACAUGACCAUCUAAUUGCAAGGUUUUUGUCUAUCAAAUCUUGAGCUAGUAUAUUUAAGAAAUUUAAUAAUUUUUACUCUCGACUCUGGUGUUGUAUAAUAGUGCAAAAGGGAGGGUUUCCUACAAAGAAUAAAGGAUGAGGAAGGCGAAGGAUGCAACAUCUACGGCUUUCUAGAAGUUAAUAAGGUUGCUGGGAAUUUUCAUUUUGCCCCAGGCAAAAGCUUUCAUCAGUCAAAUAUGCAUGUUCAUGACUUGCUUCCGUUCCAGAAGGAUAGCUUUAAUGUAAGCAAGUUUGGACGGAGUUGUGGCAGUGUACAUAAUUUCAUCGUUCACAGAUCAUUCUUAGCAUGCUUUGACAUAUUCAAUUUUCAUUUAUGAUGUUGCCAGAUUAGCCACCGAAUAAAUAGAUUAGCUUUUGGAGAAUAUUUUCCUGGUGCUAUCAAUCCUCUUGAUGGGUAACUUUGUAUUCCUUCUAUCUUCCUAUUUAUUUGCUAGUUACCUGUAUGCUCUUAAAUAGCUUUUAAUAUCAUAAAGAUAUUAGUGACUAUACACCUGAUUAUUGAAAUAUUUAGAGUGCAAUGGGUGCAACAAACACCAUAUGGGAUGUACCAAUAUUUCAUCAAGGUUAGCCGCCUCAUUUUCCUUCUUUUACUUAGUAGAAGUUAAAGUUAAGAUAUACAUGUGCUUGCUAAGCAGUCUCUUCCUGCAUAUGCCACUUCUUUCUUCUGCUGUCCUUGCAGAAUUAUGUAGUUGCCGAUGACUCUUGGAAGUUUUCAAAUCUUUCUCCUUGUCUUUUCCAGGUUGUUCCCACUGUCUACACUGACAUUAGUGGGCGUACUAUCCAGUCCAAUCAGGUAUAAAUAAGUAUUCCAUGGUAACUUCUGAUUCUGCAUUUACUUGAUUUCAUCAUCUUGUUAGAACUUUUUCAUUCAAACAUGCAGUUUUCUGUAACCGAGCAUUACAGGGGUGAUGACAACGGUCGCAUCCAAGCCCUUCCUGGUGUUUUCUUCUUCUAUGACCUUUCGCCGAUAAAGGUAAUGUUUUCAUAAGUAAAGCACCGUUACUGUUAGCAGAUUUUUGCCUGGAAAAUGAAAAUAUUUUCAUUACUUUUGUUUUUAUUCGGAUCUUUUCUUCCUCCAUUCACAAUAUAACAAGUCGCAACCAUCCUUUAGUGUGCAAUGUAAAUGCAGCCUGAUCGAUUCUUAUACUGUUUUUUGAUAUUGAUGUGAUAAGCGUAGAAAAGUUUGGGGAUACCUUUAUUGUUUCUUAGUCAUUGUAAUUUAUAUCUUAUUGCAAUACAUGGGUUUUGCAUCUAUUACAUGUUUUUUUUGUCUUACAAGUUACUAAAAAGACAGUUUAGUUCAAGCAGACCCAUCUAAUUCCUACACUAUUAUUACCCUGAUGCAUUUUUGCAGGUUACCUUCAUGGAGCAACAUGUCUCUUUCUUGCACUUCUUGACUAAUGUUUGUGCUAUUGUUGGAGGUACACUUUAUUUCACUUAUAUGACUAUUAUAAUCAUUUUACUUCUGGUGUGCUGCGUAAACUUUACGGUUAACAUAAUUUUUACAAAAUCAGCUUUGUCCUUCCAUAUUAGUUCAUUCGUAACAUCUGUUUCUGAUUAAUUGAGAUUUGAGAAUAUUGAUGAGUGUCUCCAGAACAUGAAAUUGAUUACACCUGUUAUCAAUUUAGUAUACAAAUAAUCUUUUUGAAGGAACAUCGGACUUUAUUCUAUUAAUCGUGUCCCAAUUAUAAUGCUUAAUAAGUUAUUUUGAAAGGAAAUACUAGAGUUGUCUGACAAGCAAUAUUGUUACUUAUCCUCUUUAAGAAAUGAAAAUGAAUAAUGUAUUGUUUUCAUCCCAUACUUUGUUUGACUUCACAACCAGCAAAUGACCUUCAAAUGGAUUCUUAUAUUCAGAAUAUUCUCCAAUUUGGAAAGUCGUUGCACUUUACUAUUUUUACUCAAGUUGUCCUCUUUACUUUAACCUACCUAAAUAUUCCACAACUGGCAUGUCCUCUAGAACAGAUAACUUGUGAAAGCAUUGAAAGGGGCUCUAAGAUCUAAUACUUGAAUCACUUUUAAGGGCCUAAUAUUCCAUACUAUCUGUUUUACGGGUCAUACUAUUCUUGCUCAUUGACAUUGCAAAAGGUAUAUUUUGACUAAUGCCAGUUAUAGAGCAAUGAAAUAGCAUUUCAAGCAUAUGUGGCAUACCUGCACUAAAUAGAGUCGUUGGUUGGUAUCAGGGUAUGUGAGUGUGUCCUAUUGGCAUCCUCCAAAAACAACAAUAACAGCAAGCACAAAAAAAAAAGAGGGUUCCUUAACUUUCAGAUGUCCAUCCUUCUGUAAAGUCAAGUUGUCGGAAUUUCCAGUUCUUGGGCUAUACAAACUUAUCAGGAUUGGUUUGAUGACCGACUCUAAUGUUGAUUUCUUUACCUCACCAGGUAUAUUUACUGUUUCUGGGAUAUUUGAUUCAUUUGUAUAUCAUAGCCAGAGAGCAAUCAAGAAGAAGAUGGAGAUCGGUAAAUUCAGCUGAUUGUCAAACUUGGUAACUUUUUUGUUCUUGAAAGUUAAACCACCUUUCUCGUGGGUGCUCGACCUAUCUGGUGCGACUUGAAUAUCCAAAAGUGACGUCGAGUCAGUUGGUGGGAUCGGGUUGGGUUUUGCUCUUUGUUAUAUUAUUUCGCGGCCCUGCAUCCUACAUGGAUGAAUGUCAUGUGGAUCACAAAUUCAAUCAUUUUAUAGCUGUUGUCUGUGUAAUUUAAAUUCAACAGGGGGAUAUUUGCUGUUGGAAGAGCAUUUGUGGGUGAUUAUACAUAUAGUAACAUUGAUGCAAGAUCACAGAGAACAAUGUGGAUGUUGGUAUUCGACAAGUCGGAACUUGAGUUGGUUGAAAGAUCUGUAUUGUUUUGUUAUCUUAAUUCCAGUUCCUAGAUGCAGAAGGUUAUCGAGUCUUGUACUAUUAUGUGAAUCACACAUAAGUGUUUAAAGUUUUAUUUGAGUGUUAAAUCUCUGAAAUUUCAAGAAAUGUUUUUGUUGUCUUUAAAUAUCAUGCAGUGAUUAGAUUCCAAUGAGGGCUACUCUGUUUUUCUUUUAUUUACUGUUUGCUUAUAUAACUGUUGGGAUAGAGAUUCAUGCUUCAACACAGGUGAUUAAUUAGAAUCUAACCAACUUCUAUGCAGAUAUAUGCAUGUCACAACAAUUUGCUAGAGCAAUGUACUAGCUCAAGCAGUAAAUGUGUUGGGGAUAUUUGUAUAUUUGACUUUAUUAUUCAACAGGUCUUGUGUACUAAGCCAAAAGUCUGUACCAUUCCAAAAGCAAUUCAUGCACUCAAAAACUUGCUUGUUAUCUGGGCUAAACUUCUGUUUAAUUAAAUUUCCGAUAUCUGAACUAAUGCAGUUUCUUUGAUGAAGUGGCUUUCCUCGUGUGUUUCUCCAUGCCUGUGAUAUUCUUUUUUGGUACCAAUUAGAUGAAAUUUGCUGUAUCAAUGCUUUAGCUCAUUCAAUUAUAUGCUUAGGAUUUGUUUCAGAGGAUCGUGUAAUCACAUAAUAUAGCACGCCUGAUCGGUUUCUAAUGAUGGUUAGUAUUAGCUUCUUAUGUAGAUGAGACUCGCUUUGUCAUUCUAUUUUUUUAAUCACGUAUACAUAUAUACUACCCUACUUUAAAUGCUUCUACUGUUUUGAUCUCUUACGCAGCCCAAGGAGAUAUUUCCAACUGGUAGGUAUUGCAUCUCGUCAGAUAAGAAUUCUCAAACACGUCAAUUUUAUUGAGAAAUUACUGUUUUUAACAGUGAACUCUACUGUUCUGGUUUCUUCUCUUACAGUUAAAUUUAUCUAUUUGGAUUUCAUUUUUUGGUCGGAUGUGCUUUAUAUUCUUAGGCUUUAACCUUUUACAAAGUAGCUACCAUCAUGCCCAUAACAGCAUAUAUAGAACAUUUUGGCUUUUAUGUCAUUCGAAAUUCUCCUGCGAUGUUCCUUGGCGUUCGUUAUCAUAAAAUUCCAACUAUGAAAUGGCGAAUCCUAUCACGCAAUUGUUCAGAAUCUGUCAGCGUUCUCAAAUUUCCACAUCAGCGGAGGACAGAGCCAAAAGGACAAUAGCGAAGUGCCUCAGGUAAUUUUUUAUAUUCAUGUUUCGUAACCUCGAUUUAUUUGUGGGAAUUAGAAAAUAUGGCAAAGUUCUUAGUACACAUUUUUCAGUUUAUUUCUUGUACAAAGCCUCAAUUUGGGCAGCUUUUUCUACGUUAUCGAGCCGCUUGCAUCUCGCCGCUUUCACAUGCUUGGUGGGUUACUUGUUAGUUAAAAGAAUUAUGGUGAGAAGGGAAAGAAAACAAGAGAAUGUGCAGUAUGUUUUAGUUAAUAAUGCUGAAACAAAAGACAAAGCAAAGAUCACUGGAACAAAAUAUCAUAGAGCCAUAGAGGUGGGGUUAACCAUUCCCUGUGCUCCUUGCUAUGCUUGUUCUAAAGGUAGAUCGUGUUCUGUUGUCUUCACGCUGUACAGUUUUUAUUUUGCUCGACUUCUAACCUAUCUCAAUAACCUUACAUGCUGUUCUGUCGUGUUUGGCUUUUAUAACCUUGUUUCUCAUCUGAAAUUGUCAUGUCAUAUGACUAUUGAGGAGCGUUUAGAUGCAAAUUUUCCAACUAAUACUUGUAAUUUUAGUUUUAAAUGAGAAUCCGUGCAAUUUCUACACAAUUAUUGUUCUACGAGAAGAAUAUAUGCAAUUAUUGAAUAUUGGUCCUCCUCGGAGAAAAGGAGAGGAGGAAAUUUGCGAAAGGGACGAGCGCAGAGGCAACAAAAUGGAAAGGAAGAAAAACGAAGUGUGUACGCAUUAAGUGAUACAACAAUUUCCUUUUGCCAUGUUUGUGUAGAGAUAGAUAUUUUGAUGCGCGUGGCCAUCGGAGAUUGAUUAUUACGUUGAUGAAUACUACUAUUCUACAGGUAUAUUUUGUCAAUGUGAAAAGCAUCCGAUGCGGGUUAACUUUUCCCCCCACUUUCGUUCUCAAUUGGAAUGAUUCAAAUCUCGCUGAGAUAUCUUUCAGAUUCACCACCAAUUGAAGGUAAUCUCAUCGCAGGUAGAAUUUUUCUUUUUUUUUGCCGAGCCACUGUGGGUUCGCAUCUUUUAUCUUUGUAUAACAUAUCACAAGUUGCCCAAGGGCUUUUUCUGUGAAAUAGAAAGGAAAAAAAAAAAAAUUAUUCAUCUCAGGUUAGUGGAAUAUGUAUUUAUUGUUGUGCUAAAAAAUUGAAUGAUAUAUAGAAAGAAAAGGAGUUUAAAAUAUCGUAUUUUGGUUGCUUACGGUUUUAGAGAAAAUUGGUUGUUUUACAUUUAAUGAGAAUAGGAAGUUUUGAGUUCAAAUUUUAAUUGGGGCCUCUAGUCUCAUUCAGACUCUGUCCAACUUAUUUUGAAAAUCCAGGUGUUGCAGACAAAAUCGCCCUCAUGCAUGGGGCAAUGUUGACUAAUGUAGAUAGCUACUUCCAAAUCGUGUUUUAGUAGUGUUUUAAGUCGUUAAAGAAAAAAGAAAAAAAAAAAAAAGGAAAGAAAAAAAAAAAGGGUUAGGUCCAUGAAGGAUAAAUUGCAUUGCCACUAACUUGGUAGGUGUAGUCAAGUUUCGUUUUGGUCAUUGGAAUUCAAAGUUUGUCCCUUUGAUGCGUCUCGUAGUGUUAAGAAAAAAAAAGGGAAAAGAAAAAAAGAAAAAUUGCAACAGACACACAGUGGUUUCAACUUGAUUCCUGCUGGACCAAGCAAUCCUUUUGAAAAGGAUAAAAAGUGAUAUUUUAUAGUGGGUGGAGAGAGAGAGAGAGAGAGAGAUAAGCAGAGGAAGAAUAAGAACAAAGAGAUGAGCCCUAGGGGGAGUAGGUUUGGGAACUUGUGGUGGAGGGUGUUGGCUUAAAUGCGCCAGCAUCCUGUCCUGUGCCGGAAGGUCAUGUGGGCCGAGUCAUGUUCGAAAUGGCGUGAGGCUGGGUUGGGCCGAGUCAUGUUCGAAAUGGCGUAAGGCCAGGUGGGCCGAGUCACAAUCGAGACCCAUGGGCGCUGUUUCUGUACGCUUUAAGUGAAUUGGUUGCGUAUUUCUAACAGCUCGAGCUUUUGGGAUUAAUGGUUAGCGCUAACAAUCCGACAAGUGGUAUCAGAGCCAGAGAUCACGGAUUCGAUUCCUGCAUGCUGCAAAUGUGUUCAGGUGCUGGAGGAGGAUUGUUGGCUUAAAUGGGCCAGCAUCCUGCCCUGUGGCGGGAGGCCAUGUGGGCCGAGUCAUGUUCGGAAUGACAUGAGGCUGGGUUGAGCCGAGUCAUGUUCGAAGUGGCGUGAGGUUAGGUGGGCCGAAUCACAAUCAAGAUUCAUGGGCGCUGUUUUUGUACGCUUUAAAUAACUUAAUUACGUAUUUUUAAUAGCUCGAAUUUUUGGGUUUAAUGAUUAGCGCCAGCGAUCCGACGGAGGGCAUAUCUCCAUGCCUCUCCCCUUUGCCCCUUAUCUCUGGCAAAAGGGUAUGGGGCAAUAAUAAAGAAAUGCAUAUAUGAUGAUGAAGAGGGGAUGUGUUAUGACUGAUUCCACAUGACAAUGGAAGUCCUUUUCAACAGCAUAAAAGCAAAAGGUCUUCCAGAGGCUUCUUCCCCAUCUCCCAUCCCUCCCAUCCCUCCCUCAUCUUUUUUGGUCAAGUUUAGCCCCUAUUUUAUGCUAUUAUUAUGUGAAGGGAAGGAAACAACUAGCUGUUGCUGAAACAGUCCCUUUUUGAGUAAAUCUUAAGCUUUGCUUGCCGCUCAAAACUUUUCCUUUUGUUACAUGUGUUGCUCAGCAUCAUUCAAGCAAUGGCUAGGAUUUUUGGUAUACUAAAAUGGGCAUAACUAUCUCAUUUAUAUGUGGUUAGAGAAGGUGGAUGAGGAAAUUCACGAUUCUUGUUCUUAUUGGCUGAACACCAAAAAAAAUAUCUCCUUCGAAAAAUAAUAAUAAUAAUAAUAAUAAUAAUAAUAAUGAAGAAAAGAAUUGUUAAGAUUUUAUUUCUUAUUGCCAAACAAAACAAAACAAAUCAAGGGCAUAAAAAGCUUAUUUCUCGAAGGAGAUAUUUUGCUUGAGAAAAUAAAAAGACAACACUAGUACUAAAUGAGACUCAAAAUCUUAUUAAAUUUGAGCAAACCUUUGUUUGGACAAAUGUUAACGAAUCUUAAACCCUACGCCCUGAACUGUUUGAAUAAAGAUUAAUGAUCCAUUUAGUGAAAUAUCUGUAACAUAGUGACAAUAUUUCUUUGUAAAGAAGCUAAAGGGCAAAAAAAACAUCGGUCAAAAAGCACUCAUCUUCUUGUAUACUAUGACUCUCUGUUUUUUGUUCUUCUUUUUUUGCAACACCUGAUUAUAAGGUAUGCAUUUAACUUAACAACAAUUCCAUCAAAUAUUUGAUCAUUUCAAACCCCAAAAAAGAAAUUAGCACUAAUCAUAAAGAGCUAAUGUGCAUCUCAAUCUUUGUGUUUCUUGUGCCUCUACACCAUCCAAUCUCUUCGCGAUCGAGUUCAUCAUACUCAAAACCAUGCAUACAUAAACACCAUAAAAGUACUUAAAAGCAAUAUAAUAAUUACACAGCUACACAACAAUUACAACUACACAAUAGAUUUAAAACAUCUCCUUACUCGCUGGUGAUGCUGAGGCAAAAACAUCCAGCAAAAACCAGGAGGAGGUGACCCCAAUAUAAUAAUUAAUUACAUACCAAGCCCACUAUUAAGAAAGGGGGGAAAAAAAAAAAAAAAACCUAAAAGAGGACUCUGAUUCUUCUUCUUCGACCUAAAAGAGCUCUCCGCAAACGUCUAAAACCCCAUUUGCAGAAGAAGCCCAUAACCACUAAUUAAGAACUACACCAUACUACUACACCAAAUACAAUUAUAUUCCCACAAGACGAAGAAAAAAAAAAGAAAAAAAAUAUACUAAUUUUGGGAUAAAAUGGAGUCCCAGUCGAUCUCGUAGGAGGGAUACUUGCGGAGGAAGAAGCUCUCGGACUCGUCCCAUGGCGCCUCGGUGAAGUCCAAGGUCUCCAUCUCCGACACCGGCGACGACGAGUCCUCGGCCUCCCCGUCCGACGACGACGAGCUCUCCUCCGCCGCCGCCGAGGCCGGGGCGGAGGAGCUCGGCGGAGCUGCUGCGGCGGCGGCUGCGCUCCGGCCGGUCUUGGGGGCGGGGGCGGAGGAGGAGGUGGAGGCGAGGGUUUGGCAAAUGGCCUGGAGCUUGGCGUCGACGGAGGCGAGGAGCGGGGCGGGGGAGGAGGAGGGGAGGUGGCGGUGGCGGAGGUCGGGGAAGUUGAGGCGGGCGAAGUCGCCGCGGAGGCGGAACGCGGCCUUGUCGUAGGCGAGCGCGGCCUCCUCGGCGGUGUCGAAGGUGCCGAGCCAGAGCCGCGUCCGGUUCUUCGGGAGCCGGAU